UGGGGAAUCUUGCGCAAUGCGCGAAAGCGUGACGCAGCAACGCCGCGUGGGGGAAGAAGGCCUUCGGGUUGUAAACCUCUUUCAGUUGGGACGAAGCCUUGCGGGUUAAUAGCCCGUUGAGGUGACGGUACCUUCAGAAGAAGCCCCGGCUAACUACGUGCCAGCAGCCGCGGUAAUACGUAGGGGGCAAGCGUUGUCCGGAAUCAUUGGGCGUAAAGAGCGUGUAGGCGGCCCGAUAAGUCCGCUGUGAAAGUCCAGGGCUCGACCCUGGAAUGCCGGUGGAUACUGUCGGGCUCGAAUCCGGAAGAGGUGAGUGGAAUUCCUGGUGUAGCGGUGAAAUGCGCAGAUAUCAGGAGGAACACCAAUGGCGAAGGCAGCUCACUGGGACGGUAUUGACGCUGAGACGCGAAAGCGUGGGGAGCAAAC
Molecule: ribosomal RNA, 426 nt
Filed under: uncultured bacterium
Lineage: Bacteria
Description: bacterial SSU rRNA
Rfam family: Bacterial small subunit ribosomal RNA
Source: RNAcentral